Molecule: non-coding RNA, 311 nt
Organism: Cinara cedri
Lineage: Eukaryota; Metazoa; Arthropoda; Insecta; Hemiptera; Aphididae
Source: the annotation of a GenBank genome assembly
AGCUUUGUGAAAGCAUGAAACGCGUUUGUUUCGUACUUUGCAAUUUUACUAAAUGUGCUUGGCAAAUAUGCAAAUGCCAAGAGUCUUUUGCCCUAAUGAUUAUCUAUGAUAUUGAAUAAUGACGACCAUUUAUCAUUUUUAUGUAGUCGCUUUGCUAGGAAAAACAAACCAUUUACUACUCGUUAAGUCUGUGGCCCGGAGCGAGAUUAAGAAAGUCGAGGUAGAAACGAUGUUCACAAACAGAAAAAAAAAAAAAAAACACAAAAUAGAAAAAUUCACCGCGUUUAGAAUGUGAAAAUAAUGUUUACGCG